GACGAACGCCGGCGGCGUGCUUAACACAUGCAAGUCGAACGGUAAGGCCCUUCGGGGUACACGAGUGGCGAACGGGUGAGUAACACGUGGGUGAUCUGCCCUGCACUUCGGGAUAAGCCUGGGAAACUGGGGCUACUACCGGAUAGGACCACUGCCUGCAUGGGUGGUGGUGGAAAGCUUUUGCGGUGUGGGAUGGGCCCGCGGCCUAUCAGCUUGUUGGUGGGGUGAUGGCCUACCAAGGCGACGACGGGUAGCCGGCCUGAGAGGGUGACCGGCCACACUGGGACUGAGAUACGGCCCAGACUCCUACGGGAGGCAGCAGUGGGGAAUAUUGCACAAUGGGCGCAAGCCUGAUGCAGCGACGCCGCGUGAGGGAUGACGGCCUUCGGGUUGUAAACCUCUUUCAGCACCGACGAAGCGCAAGUGACGGUAGGUGCAGAAGAAGGACCGGCCAACUACGUGCCAGCAGCCGCCGUAA
This 478-nucleotide ribosomal RNA is filed under the name uncultured bacterium. RNAcentral describes it as "partial 16S ribosomal RNA". It matches the Rfam family "Bacterial small subunit ribosomal RNA", at positions 28 to 523 of the family's 1533-position model. The record is from RNAcentral.